AAGUCGUAGCGACUUGAAACAAGAAGCAUUGGAAAGAGAAAAUUACCGCGCUUCCGACGGCUGCGAAAUCAUCCUUCUGUGCAAUAAGGAUCAAACAGUGUAAUCAUGUAGAUCUUGCCAGAGUUUGCAGCCACACAGUAAAGCUGAUUUCAAGGGAUACAGUUUUACAAGUGCCGUACCGAAGGAUCCGGUUCGGCCUGAGCAAAGUCGGCUCGAAGAAUGUCGCAGAACGUUGCCGGCUCUGAGUCCGCGGUGUUUUGGUGAGUGAAAAAAUAUGUGCAAAAUCUGUUAAAUACAAAAUCUUGAGAUAUGUUUAUAAUGUCUCAAGAAGAUCAAUGCGAUUUACUUAGCUUGUUUCUCGCAAGUUGGGUUUUGUUUGUGAGUGUUAAUAACGUCCGCUAAUAAAUACUGCUCGAAAUAAUCUGGAGAUUGCUUCUUUAAAUGCCUGCAAUGUCGGAUAUUUAUCAAUGAAAAUUUUCUUGACUAAAAUAAUGAUAAAACAAUAACCUC
Molecule: long non-coding RNA, 510 nt
Organism: Odontomachus brunneus
Lineage: Eukaryota; Metazoa; Arthropoda; Insecta; Hymenoptera; Formicidae
Exons: 3
Source: RefSeq, a predicted model, not a curated record